AUACGGAGGAUGCAAGCGUUAUCCGGAUUUAUUGGGUUUAAAGGGUGCGUAGGCGGUUUGCUAAGCGGGAGGUGAAAUGCCGGCGCUCAACGUCGGAAGUGCCUCCCGAACUGGUGGACUUGAAUGACUCUGCCGUGGGAGGAAUGUGUAGUGUAGCGGUGAAAUGCUUAGAGAUUACACAGAACACCGAUUGCGAAGGCAUCUCACGAAGGGUUGAUUGACGCUGAGGCACGAAAGCGUGGGGAUCAAAUAGGAUUAGAUACCCUGGUAGUCCACGCAGUAAACGAUGAUGGCUAACCGCUGGGCUUAUCAGUUCAGUGGCCAAGCGAAAGCGAUAAGCCAUCCACCUGGGGAGUACGACCGCAAGGUUGAAACUCAAAUGAAUUGACGGGG
RNAcentral lists this ribosomal RNA (393 nucleotides) under uncultured bacterium. Its description in RNAcentral is "partial 16S ribosomal RNA". It matches the Rfam family "Bacterial small subunit ribosomal RNA", at positions 523 to 918 of the family's 1533-position model. The record is from RNAcentral.